GACUGUACAAAGGUAGCAUAAUCAUUUGUCAUUUAAUUGGUGACUUGGAUGAAAGGUCGGAUGAGAAUUAUACUUUCUUUAUCUUAAAUUUAGAACUUAACUUUCAUGUUAAAAGGCUUGGAUGUUUUUAUGGGACGAGAAGACCCUAUAGAACUUUAUAUUAAUUUGGAUAUUUUAAUUAUUGAAAAUUUUAUUUUUGUAUUCUUAUUUUUAUUUUAUUGGGGCGAUAGAAAAAAAAUUAUAACUUUUUUUGUUUUUUACAUUUAUUUAUGAUUUGAUCUUUUAAUAUUGAUUUUAAGAUUAAGUUACCUUAGGGAUAACAGCGUUAUUGUUUUGGAGAGUUCAUAUCGAUAAUACAGUUUGCGACCUCGAUGUUGGAUUAAAAUUAUUAUUAGGGGUAGGUUUUUAUUUAUAUAGGUCUGUUCGACCUUUAAAUUUUUACA
RNAcentral lists this ribosomal RNA (443 nucleotides) under Isometopus rugiceps. RNAcentral describes it as "partial large subunit ribosomal RNA". It matches the Rfam family "Bacterial large subunit ribosomal RNA", at positions 1944 to 2600 of the family's 2925-position model. Lineage: Eukaryota; Metazoa; Arthropoda; Insecta; Hemiptera; Miridae. The record is from RNAcentral.